This 74-nucleotide transfer RNA is filed under the name Firmicutes bacterium CAG:552. It matches the Rfam family "tRNA". From Rfam's summary of the family: Transfer RNA (tRNA) molecules are approximately 80 nucleotides in length. Their secondary structure includes four short double-helical elements and three loops (D, anti-codon, and T loops). Lineage: Bacteria; Bacillati; Bacillota. The record is from Rfam by way of RNAcentral.
CGGGGUGUAGCGCAGUUUGGUAGCGCGCAUGAAUGGGGUUCAUGAGGCCGGAAGUUCGAUUCUUCUCACUCCGA